GAUGAACGCUGACAGAAUGCUUAACACAUGCAAGUCUACUUGAACUUCGGUUUGGGUGGCGGACGGGUGAGUAACGCGUAAAGAACUUGCCUCACAGUUAGGGACAACAUUUGGAAACGAAUGCUAAUACCUGAUAUUAUGAUUUUAGGGCAUCCUAAGAUUAUGAAAGCUAUCUGCGCUGUGAGAGAGCUUUGCGUCCCAUUAGCUAGUUGGAGAGGUAACGGCUCACCAAGGCGAUGAUGGGUAGCCGGCCUGAGAGGGUGAACGACCACAAGGGGACUGAGACACGGCCCUUACUCCUACGGGAGGCAGCAGUGGGGAAUAUUGGACAAUGGACCAAAAGUCUGAUCCAGCAAUUCUGUGUGCACGAUGACGUUUUUCGGAAUGUAAAGUGCUUUCAGUUGGGAAGAAAAAAAUGACGGUACCAACAGAAGAAGUGACGGCUAAAUACGUGCCAGCAGCCGCGGUAAUACGUAUGUCACAAGCGUUAUCCGGAUUUAUUGGGCGUAAAGCGCGUCUAGGUGGUUAUGUAAGUCUGAUGUGAAAAUGCAGGGCUCAACUCUGUAUUGCGUUGGAAACUGCAUGACUAGAGUACUGGAGAGGUAAGCGGAACUACAAGUGUAGAGGUGAAAUUCGUAGAUAUUUGUAGGAAUGCCGAUGGGGAAGCCAGCUUACUGGACAGAUACUGACGCUAAAGCGCGAAAGCGUGGGUAGCAAACAGG
RNAcentral lists this ribosomal RNA (722 nucleotides) under uncultured Fusobacterium sp. Its description in RNAcentral is "bacterial SSU rRNA". It matches the Rfam family "Bacterial small subunit ribosomal RNA", at positions 28 to 776 of the family's 1533-position model. Lineage: Bacteria; Fusobacteriati; Fusobacteriota; Fusobacteriia; Fusobacteriales; Fusobacteriaceae. The record is from RNAcentral.